This 77-nucleotide transfer RNA is filed under the name Roseovarius sp. Its description in RNAcentral is "tRNA-Pro". It matches the Rfam family "tRNA". Rfam says of the family: Transfer RNA (tRNA) molecules are approximately 80 nucleotides in length. Their secondary structure includes four short double-helical elements and three loops (D, anti-codon, and T loops). The record is from RNAcentral. Lineage: Bacteria; Pseudomonadati; Pseudomonadota; Alphaproteobacteria; Rhodobacterales; Roseobacteraceae.
CGGAGUGUAGCUCAGCAUGGUAGAGCACUGUCUUCGGGAGGCAGGGGUCGUGAGUUCGAAUCUCGCCACUCCGACCA